RNAcentral lists this ribosomal RNA (325 nucleotides) under uncultured eukaryote. RNAcentral's name for it is "partial 18S ribosomal RNA". It matches the Rfam family "Eukaryotic small subunit ribosomal RNA", at positions 1470 to 1796 of the family's 1831-position model. The record is from RNAcentral.
CCCUUAGAUGUCCUGGGCCGCACGCGCGCUACACUGAUGCAUUCAACGAGUGUUUCCUUGGCCGAGAGGCCUGAGCAAUCUUUUAAACCUGCAUCGUGAUAGGGAUAGAUUAUUGCAAUAAUUAAUCUUGAACGAGGAAUUCCUAGUAAACGCAAAUCAUCAAUUUGCAUUGAUUACGUCCCUGCCCUUUGUGCACACCGCCCGUCGCACCUACCGAUUGAAUGGUCCGGUGAAAUCUCGGGAUUGUGGCCAGUUCACUUUAUUGGGAGUUGGCUGCGAGAACUUGCUUAAACCUUAUCAUUUAGAGGAAGGUGAAGUCGUAACA